Molecule: ribosomal RNA, 443 nt
Filed under: uncultured bacterium
Lineage: Bacteria
Description: partial 16S ribosomal RNA
Rfam family: Bacterial small subunit ribosomal RNA
Source: RNAcentral
CCUACGGAGGGCUGCCGUGGGGAAUAUUGGGCAAUGGGCGCAAGCCUGACCCAGCAACGCCGCUUGAAGGAAGAAGGCUUUCGGAUUGUACACUUCUUUUCUCAGGGACGAAGCAAGUGACGGUACCUGAGGAAUAAGCCACGGCUAACUACGUGCCAGCAGCCUCGUUAAUACGUAGGUGGCAAGCGUUAUCCGUAUUUACUGGGUGUAAAGGGCGUGUAGGCGGGGAAGCAAGUCAGAUGUGAAAACCACGGGCUCAACCUGUGGCCUGCAUUUUAAACUGUGUUUAUUGAGUACUGGAGAGGCAGACGGAAUUCCGAGUGUAGCGGUGAAAUGCGUAGAUAUUAGGAGGAACACCAGUGGCGAAGGCGGUCUGCUGGACAGCAACUGACGCUGAGGCGCGAAGGCGUGGGGAGCAAACAGGAUUAGAUACCCGGGUAGUC